AGCGGCGGACGGGUGAGUAACACGUGGGUAACCUGCCUGUAAGACUGGGAUAACUCCGGGAAACCGGGGCUAAUACCGGAUGGUUGUUUGAACCGCAUGGUUCAAACAUAAAAGGUGGCUUCGGCUACCACUUACAGAUGGACCCGCGGCGCAUUAGCUAGUUGGUGAGGUAACGGCUCACCAAGGCAACGAUGCGUAGCCGACCUGAGAGGGUGAUCGGCCACACUGGGACUGAGACACGGCCCAGACUCCUACGGGAGGCAGCAGUAGGGAAUCUUCCGCAAUGGACGAAAGUCUGACGGAGCAACGCCGCGUGAGUGAUGAAGGUUUUCGGAUCGUAAAGCUCUGUUGUUAGGGAAGAACAAGUACCGUUCGAAUAGGGCGGUACCUUGACGGUACCUAACCAGAAAGCCACGGCUAACUACGUGCCAGCAGCCGCGGUAAUACGUAAGUGGCAAGCGUUGUCCGGAAUUAUUGGGCGUAAAGGGCUCGCAGGCGGUUUCUUAAGUCUGAUGUGAAAGCCCCCGGCUCA
Molecule: ribosomal RNA, 532 nt
Filed under: Bacillus subtilis
Lineage: Bacteria; Bacillati; Bacillota; Bacilli; Caryophanales; Bacillaceae
Description: bacterial SSU rRNA
Rfam family: Bacterial small subunit ribosomal RNA
Source: RNAcentral